Molecule: ribosomal RNA, 397 nt
Filed under: uncultured bacterium
Lineage: Bacteria
Description: bacterial SSU rRNA
Rfam family: Bacterial small subunit ribosomal RNA
Source: RNAcentral
AACGAACGCUGGCGGCAUGCCUAACACAUGCAAGUCGAACGAAGCCUUCGGGCUUAGUGGCGCACGGGUGCGUAACGCGUGGGAAUCUGCCCUUGGGUUCGGAAUAACAGUUAGAAAUGACUGCUAAUACCGAAUGAUGUCUUCGGACCAAAGAUUUAUCGCCCAAGGAUGAGCCCGCGUCGGAUUAGCUAGUUGGUGAGGUAAAGGCUCACCAAGGCGACGAUCCGUAGCUGGUCUGAGAGGAUGAUCAGCCACACUGGGACUGAGACACGGCCCAGACUCCUACGGGAGGCAGCAGUGGGGAAUAUUGGACAAUGGGCGAAAGCCUGAUCCAGCAAUGCCGCGUGAGUGAUGAAGGCCUUCGGGUUGUAAGACUCUUUGGUCGGGACGAUGAUGA